Molecule: ribosomal RNA, 496 nt
Filed under: uncultured bacterium
Lineage: Bacteria
Description: partial 16S ribosomal RNA
Rfam family: Bacterial small subunit ribosomal RNA
Source: RNAcentral
GAUGAACGCUGGCGGCGUGCCUAAUACAUGCAAGUCGAGCGAACAGAUGAGGAGCUUGCUCCUCUGACGUUAGCGGCGGACGGGUGAGUAACACGUGGAUAACCUACCUAUAAGACUGGGAUAACUUCGGGAAACCGGAGCUAAUACCGGAUAAUAUAUUGAACCGCAUGGUUCAAUAGUGAAAGACGGUUUUGCUGUCACUUAUAGAUGGAUCCGCGCCGCAUUAGCUAGUUGGUAAGGUAACGGCUUACCAAGGCAACGAUGCGUAGCCGACCUGAGAGGGUGAACGGCCACUCGGGAACUGAGACAGGGCCCAGACUCCUAGGGGAGGCAGCAGGAGGGAAUUUUCCGCAAUGGGGGAAAGCCUGAGGGAGCAACGCCGCGGGAGUGAAGAAGGUCUUCGAAUCGUAAAACUCUGUUAUUAGGGAAGAAAAAAUGUGAAAGUAAAUAUGCCCGUUUUGUCGGUACCUAUCAAAAAAGCCACGGCUAACUACGU